This 75-nucleotide transfer RNA is filed under the name bacterium. RNAcentral describes it as "tRNA-Gln". It matches the Rfam family "tRNA". From Rfam's summary of the family: Transfer RNA (tRNA) molecules are approximately 80 nucleotides in length. The record is from RNAcentral.
UGUCGGAUCGUCUAAUUGGUAGGACGACUGGUUCUGGUCCAGUUAAUCUAGGUUCGAGUCCUAGUCCGACAGCAA